RNAcentral lists this ribosomal RNA (465 nucleotides) under uncultured bacterium. RNAcentral's name for it is "partial 16S ribosomal RNA". It matches the Rfam family "Bacterial small subunit ribosomal RNA", at positions 338 to 795 of the family's 1533-position model. The record is from RNAcentral.
CCUACGGGAGGCAGCAGUGGGGAAUGUUGCGCAAUGGACGAAAGAGUGAUGCAGCGACGCCGCGUGAAUGACGAAGGCCUUCGGGUUGUAAAGCUCUUUCGACAGGGAAGAAAAUGCCUAUAAGUAACUGUGUAUGUAUUGACGGUACCGGUACAAGCAGCCCCGGCUAACGCCGUGCCAGCAGCUGCGGUAAUAUGGAGGGGGCGAGCGUGGGUCGGAUGGACUGGGCGUAAAGAGAGCGUAGGCGGUGUUGUAAGUCACUAGUGAAAGACUAGGGCUCAACCUUAGGAAGGCUAGUGAUACUGUAAUGCUAGAGUAUCGGAGAGGAUUGCAGAAUUCCUGGUGUAGCGGUGAAAUGCGUAGAUAUCAGGAGGAAUACCGUUGGCGAAGGCGGCUAACUGGCUGGAAACUGACGCUGAGGUGCGAAAGCGUGGGUAGCAAACAGGAUUAGAUACCCGAGUAGUC